RNAcentral lists this ribosomal RNA (492 nucleotides) under uncultured bacterium. RNAcentral's name for it is "partial 16S ribosomal RNA". It matches the Rfam family "Bacterial small subunit ribosomal RNA", at positions 30 to 507 of the family's 1533-position model. The record is from RNAcentral.
AUUGAACGCUGGCGGCAGGCCUAACACAUGCAAGUCGAGCGGCAGAAGGGAGAUUGCUCCUGGAUACAGGGGCCGACGGGCGGGUGAGGCCGAGGAACCUGCCUGGCUACGGGGGAUAAGGUCAGAACACGGGCGCUAAUACCCCAAUAGUGCUGACGGAGUACGUGGGGAAGCAUGGGACCUACCGACCUUGCGCGAUCGAAUGAGCCGAGGUCGGAUUAGCUGGUUAGUGGGGUAAAGGCCCACCAAGGCGACGAUCCGUAGCUGGUCUGAGAGGAUGAUCAGCCACACUGGAACUGAGACACGGUCCAGACUCCUACGGGAGGCAGCAGUGGGGAAUAUUGGACAAUGGGCGAAAGCCUGAUCCAGCCAUGCCGCGUGUGUGAAGAAGGUCUUCGGAUUGUAAAGCCCUUUUAUUUGGGAAGAAAAGCAGUAAGUUAAUACCUUGCUGUUUUGACGGUACCCAAAGAAUAAGCACCGGCUAACUUCGUG